CCCCAGACUCCUACGGGAGGCAGCAGUGGGGAAUAUUGCACAAUGGGGGGAACCCUGAUGCAGCAACGCCGCGUGGGUGAAGAAGUAUUUCGGUAUGUAAAGCCCUAUCAGCAGGGAAGAAGAUGACGGUACCUGACUAAGAAGCCCCGGCUAACUCCGUGCCAGCAGCCGCGGUAAUACGGAGGAUGCGAGCGUUAUCCGGAUUUAUUGGGUUUAAAGGGUGCGCAGGCGGCACGGCAAGCCGGCGGUCAAAUCGCGGGGCUCAACCCCGCCCAGCCGUCGGAACUGCCGGGCUAGAGUGGGCGAGAAGUGCGCGGAAUGCGUGGUGUAGCGGUGAAAUGCAUAGAUAUCACGCAGAACUCCGAUUGCGAAGGCAGCGUACCGGCGCCCUACUGACGCUGAGGCACGAAAGCGUGGGUAUCGAACAGGAUUAGAUACCCUCGUAA
This 446-nucleotide ribosomal RNA is filed under the name uncultured bacterium. RNAcentral's name for it is "bacterial SSU rRNA". It matches the Rfam family "Bacterial small subunit ribosomal RNA", at positions 329 to 793 of the family's 1533-position model. The record is from RNAcentral.